AGAUCUCCCCACGAGCAUUGGUCUGGGACACCUCUGCAUCUGGCUUCAGCCAAUGGCCAUGCAGAUGUCGUCAGAUAUCUGCUAAGAAAGAACAGCCAGCCCAACCUCGCUGACAGCUUCAAGAGAACGGCCCUGAUGAAGGCAGUCCAGCAGGAGCAGGAG
Molecule: long non-coding RNA, 162 nt
Organism: Pseudopipra pipra
Lineage: Eukaryota; Metazoa; Chordata; Aves; Passeriformes; Pipridae
Exons: 3
Source: RefSeq, a predicted model, not a curated record